CCUACGGGAUGCAGCAGUGAGGCAUAUUGGUCAAUGGCCGGAAGGCUGAACCAGCCAAGCCGCGUGAAGGACGAAGGUGCCAAGCAUUGUAAACUUCUUUUGUCAAGGGACAAAAUCAGGCUCGAGAGCCUGACCGAUGGUACUUGAAGAAAAAGCAUCGGCUAACUCCGUUCCAGCAGCCGCGGUAAUACGGAGGAUGCGAGCUUUAUCCGGAUUUACUGGGUGUAAAGGGCGUGUAGGCGGGAAAGCAAGUCAGAUGUGAAAACCAUGGGCUCAACCUGUGGUCUGCAUUUGAAACUGUUUUUCUUGAGUACUGGAGAGGCAGACGGAAUUCCUAGUGUAGCGGUGAAAUGCGUAGAUAUUAGGAGGAACACCAGUGGCGAAGGCGGUCUGCUGGACAGCAACUGACGCUGAGGCGCGAAAGCGUGGGGAGCAAACAGGAUUAGAUACCCGAGUAGUC
Molecule: ribosomal RNA, 460 nt
Filed under: uncultured bacterium
Lineage: Bacteria
Description: partial 16S ribosomal RNA
Rfam family: Bacterial small subunit ribosomal RNA
Source: RNAcentral